AUUCACGCCAAAUUCUAACUCCCUGUACCCCUAAAUGACUCCUUUGGGUUUUCUAUUUGAAGCCUACACAGAAAAAUAAAAGACUAAAAUAAAGAUUACUGUAGUCUUAACCAUUAAAAUAUGCCAACUGGUGUCUUUUAAAUCUCAGUAUGCACUCUUACACCCCCAAGAUGUUGGUUAAAAACCACAUCAUCUGGAAAAAAUAUUGUUCCAUGGGUCAUAAACUACAAGCAGACUAUAAUGUUGGGCUUCUGUAGGAGGUGUCAUGAGCUGCGAUUUUGUUUCCCCCUCCAGUCCUGUUAAAAAACCAAGUGAAACAGGCUGGAACUACGGGUAGUUAUGAGAACAAAGCUGUCGUGGCUCUCUGAAUGACGCAAGCAGGACGAUUGGAGUUGGAACCAUUAUGGCCUAAUACUAAGAGGGCUGAUGGGUAUGAUGCAGGAGUGAUUCUGGCACACAGGGUGACGGAGCGGCUGCCAGAGACUCAUCAUGCUGCCAACCGGACCAAAACCACUCUAGCCCGGUGCACCAAGAGUGACCUUCAAACGGGAAAGCUGACUAAUAUCCACACAAUGGAGUGAGUGUAAGGAACCAACUUUUCACCAUCCCAAGCAAUUCCCAAUAUCCUGCUGCAAUCACAAAUACAUCACAUUGUGGAAGUGAAAUGCAUUGCAGAUGCCUUUUCUUGUUGCCUUCAAUAAAAACUGUUAUAAAUUAGUAUCCCAAGGUCUGCAGUAUUUUUAUAUCCUGACAAUGCUGGAAUUGUAACAUCUUACUGCAGUUGCCAUUUUUUCCACAUGAUAACAUCAUUUGCUUUACAAAUAGUCUCGAAAUCACUAAUAACACAGUCUUUCCAUCUUUUAUAUGUGCUAGAAAGUCUCAUCAUCAUUGAAUCCGCUGUGAUGUCUAUGAACUGCAACAGCAAACCCUCCAGAAGCUCUUACCAGACCUGUGCUAAAGUCAAAUCUGGCUUUUGGUACAGUAGAUCCAAAACAAAGGUCCCAUUAAUGUUCCCAUUUAGACAUGCGGCUCAGGGUUCCAGACAAACAGAAAUGUGCAAGUCGUGUUUCCCCACACGAGGAGGUUAUGCUGGGUUAUUUGUUUCGCUAACACUAAUUAGCAGCUACUGUACAUAUAUUGCAAGGUUAAAGGAUUAAUUCACCCAAAAGUGAAAAUGCUGUGUAUUUAGUCUCUCUUAUGGUGUUCCAAAUCUGUAUACAGUUUUUUAUUUCUUUUUUUCUGUGGAUAAUAAAAGGAGAAUUUCUGAAGAAUCUUUAUGCAGUUUAUUCAUACAGUGGACUUUCAGAGAUGAAUGCCUGUCAAGCUCCAAAAAGAACAGAAACUAGUUUAUUUACUUGAAAAUAACAGCCUAGAUUUCAAUAUGUAUGAUUAUAUAAGAUAUUGAAUAUAGUGCAUGAAUC
Molecule: long non-coding RNA, 1421 nt
Organism: Cyprinus carpio carpio
Lineage: Eukaryota; Metazoa; Chordata; Actinopteri; Cypriniformes; Cyprinidae
Source: Ensembl